GUGAGGAAUAUUGCGCAAUGGAGGCAACUCUGACGCAGCCAUGCCGCGUGCAGGAAGAAGGCGCUACGCGUUGUAAACUGCUUUUAACCGGGAAGAAACCCCAGGACGUGUCCUGGGUUGACGGUACCGGAGGAAUAAGCACCGGCUAACUUUGUGCCAGCAGCCGCGGUAAUACGAAGGGUGCAAGCGUUAUCCGGAUUCAUUGGGUUUAAAGGGUGCGUAGGCGGAGCGUUAAGUCAGUGGUGAAAUCCUGCAGCUUAACUGUAGACUUGCCAUUGAUACUGGCGCUCUUGAGUGCGCUUGAAGUGGGCGGAAUGUGCCGUGUAGCGGUGAAAUGCUUAGAUAUGGCACAGAACACCAAUUGCGAAGGCAGCUCACUAAGGCGAUACUGACGCUGAGGCACGAAAGCGUGGGGAUCGAACAGGAUUAGAUACCCUGGUAGUCC
Molecule: ribosomal RNA, 445 nt
Filed under: uncultured bacterium
Lineage: Bacteria
Description: partial 16S ribosomal RNA
Rfam family: Bacterial small subunit ribosomal RNA
Source: RNAcentral